This is a long non-coding RNA of Neofelis nebulosa (Clouded leopard), 382 nucleotides long. RefSeq lists it as uncharacterized. NCBI's taxonomy places the organism in Eukaryota, Metazoa, Chordata, Mammalia, Carnivora, Felidae. The record is from RefSeq and is a predicted model, not a curated record. The transcript has 2 exons.
GCUGGGAAAAACAAAGCCGGUCAGGGACGGGGUGUCCGUGUGUCUGGCGAAAUCUAGCCCAGGGUUACAGGCGCCCGUGAAAGCCAGCAAGGCCAGCUCAGCUCUCGGAGCACCUUGUGAAACGCGGAGAGAGAGUGUGAGUAGGGAAGGGGCAGACAGAGAAAGAGACACAGAAUCCGCAGCAGGCUCCAGGCCCUGAGCUGUCAGCACAGAGCCCGAUGUGGGGCUUGAACUCACAAACAGCGAGAUCAUGACCUAGGCUGAAGUCGGAUGCCUAACCGACGGAACCACCCAGGCCCCCCUACGUCAAUAUUUUUUUAAAGUCUGGAAGGCGACACAUAAAAAUGUUAACGGCGCUCACCUUUGGCAAAAUUAUGAGUAA